RNAcentral lists this ribosomal RNA (1247 nucleotides) under metagenome. Its description in RNAcentral is "bacterial LSU rRNA". It matches the Rfam family "Bacterial large subunit ribosomal RNA", at positions 1564 to 2820 of the family's 2925-position model. The record is from RNAcentral.
UGAAUACGAGACGCUAAGGCGUCGAAGUAGUGUAUGUCAUACUUCCAAGAGAAGCUUGCACUGUCAUAGAUAAAAAACGCCUGUACCAUAACCGACACAGGUGGGUAGGUAGAGUAUACUAAGGGGCGCGAGAUAACUCUCUCUAAGGAACUCGGCAAAAUAACUCCGUAACUUCGGGAGAAGGAGUGCCUUAUUCGUAAGGUUGCAAUAACAAGAUCCAAGCAACUGUUUAUCAAAAACACAGGUCUCCGCUAAGUCGUAAGACGAUGUAUGGGGGCUGACGCCUGCCCAGUGCCAGAAGGUUAAAGAAGUUGGUUAGCAAUUGCGAAGCUGAUAACUGAAGCCCUGGUGAACGGCGGCCGUAACGAUAACGGUCCUAAGGUAGCGAAAUUCCUUGUCGGGUAAGUUCCGACCCGCACGAAAGGCGUAAUGAUUUGGAUACUGUCUCGGAGAGGGGCUCGGUGAAAUAGACUUGUCUGUGAAGAUGCGGACUACCUGCACCAGGACAGAAAGACCCUAUGAAGCUUUACUGUAACUUGAAAUUGAAAUUGGACUUUAUUCGCGCAGUAUAGGUGGGAGGCGUUGAUUAUAAUCUUGUGGGAUUAUUGGAACCAUCAGUGAGAUACCACUCUUGUAAUGUUAGAUUUCUAACUUUGAAUCAUUAUCUGGUCAAAGAACAGUUUCAGGCGGGCAGUUUGACUGGGGCGGUCGCCUCCUAAACGGUAACGGAGGCGUACAAAGGUUUCCUCUGAACGGUUAGAAAUCGUAUCUAGAGUGUAAAGGCAUAAGGAAGCUUGACUGUGAGCCCUACAAGUCGAGCAGGGACGAAAGUCGGUCUUAGUGAUCUGACGGUACUGAGUGGAAAGGCCGUCACUCAACGGAUAAAAGUUACUCUAAGGAUAACAGGCUGAUCUCCCCCAAGAGUUCACAUCGACGGGGAGGUUUGGCACCUCGAUGUCGGCUCAUCGCAUCCUGGGGCGGUAGUACGUCCCAAGGGUUGGGCUGUUCGCCCAUGAAAGCGGUACGCGAGCUGGGUUCAGAACGUCGUGAGACAGUUCGGUCCAUAUCCGGUGUAGGCGUUAGAAUAUUGAGAGGAGCCUUCUUUAGUACGAGAGGACCGAGAAGGACAUACCUCUGGUGUACCAGUUAUCGUGCCAACGGUAAACGCUGGGUAGCUAUGUAUGGAGUGGAUAACCGCUGAAAGCAUCUAAGUGGGAAGCCCACCUCAAGAUAAGUAUUCUCAUCAC